Molecule: ribosomal RNA, 1372 nt
Filed under: uncultured bacterium
Lineage: Bacteria
Description: bacterial SSU rRNA
Rfam family: Bacterial small subunit ribosomal RNA
Source: RNAcentral
GAUGAACGCUGGCGGCGUGCCUAAUACAUGCAAGUCGAGCGAACGGACGAGAAGCUUGCUUCUCUGAUGUUAGCGGCGGACGGGUGAGUAACACGUGGAUAACCUACCUAUAAGACUGGGAUAACUUCGGGAAACCGGAGCUAAUACCGGAUAAUAUUUUGAACCGCAUGGUUCAAAAGUGAAAGACGGUCUUGCUGUCACUUAUAGAUGGAUCCGCGCUGCAUUAGCUAGUUGGUAAGGUAACGGCUUACCAAGGCAACGAUGCAUAGCCGACCUGAGAGGGUGAUCGGCCACACUGGAACUGAGACACGGUCCAGACUCCUACGGGAGGCAGCAGUAGGGAAUCUUCCGCAAUGGGCGAAAGCCUGACGGAGCAACGCCGCGUGAGUGAUGAAGGUCUUCGGAUCGUAAAACUCUGUUAUUAGGGAAGAACAUAUGUGUAAGUAACUGUGCACAUCUUGACGGUACCUAAUCAGAAAGCCACGGCUAACUACGUGCCAGCAGCCGCGGUAAUACGUAAGUGGCAAGCGUUAUCCGGAAUUAUUGGGCGUAAAGCGCGCGUANGCGGUUUUUUAAGUCUGAUGUGAAAGCCCACGGCUCAACCGUGGAGGGUCAUUGGAAACUGGAAAACUUGAGUGCAGAAGAGGAAAGUGGAAUUCCAUGUGUAGCGGUGAAAUGCGCAGAGAUAUGGAGGAACACCAGUGGCGAAGGCGACUUUCUGGUCUGUAACUGACGCUGAUGUGCGAAAGCGUGGGGAUCAAACAGGAUUAGAUACCCUGGUAGUCCACGCCGUAAACGAUGAGUGCUAAGUGUUAGGGGGUUUCCGCCCCUUAGUGCUGCAGCUAACGCAUUAAGCACUCCGCCUGGGGAGUACGACCGCAAGGUUGAAACUCAAAGGAAUUGACGGGGACCCGCGCAAGCGGUGGAGCAUGUGGUUUAAUUCGAAGCAACGCGAAGAACCUUACCAAAUCUUGACAUCCUUUGACAACUCUAGAGAUAGAGCCUUCCCCUUCGGGGGACAAAGUGACAGGUGGUGCAUGGUUGUCGUCAGCUCGUGUCGUGAGAUGUUGGGUUAAGUCCCGCAACGAGCGCAACCCUUAAGCUUAGUUGCCAUCAUUAAGUUGGGCACUCUAAGUUGACUGCCGGUGACAAACCGGAGGAAGGUGGGGAUGACGUCAAAUCAUCAUGCCCCUUAUGAUUUGGGCUACACACGUGCUACAAUGGACAAUACAAAGGGCAGCGAAACCGCGAGGUCAAGCAAAUCCCAUAAAGUUGUUCUCAGUUCGGAUUGUAGUCUGCAACUCGACUACAUGAAGCUGGAAUCGCUAGUAAUCGUAGAUCAGCAUGCUACGGUGAAUACGUUCCCGGGUCU